UACAGAGGGUGCGAGCGUUAAUCGGAAUUACUGGGCGUAAAGGGUGCGUAGGUGGUCUGAUAAGUUAAAUGUGAAAGCCCCGGGCUUAACCUGGGAAUGGCGUUUAAAACUGCCAGACUAGAGUAUUGUAGAGGAAAGUGGAAUUACCGGUGUAGCGGUGAAAUGCGUAGAUAUCGGUAGGAACACCAGUGGCGAAGGCGACUUUCUGGACAAUAACUGACACUGAGGCACGAAAGCAUGGGGAGCAAACAGG
This 253-nucleotide ribosomal RNA is filed under the name uncultured bacterium. RNAcentral's name for it is "partial 16S ribosomal RNA". It matches the Rfam family "Bacterial small subunit ribosomal RNA", at positions 524 to 776 of the family's 1533-position model. The record is from RNAcentral.